This 469-nucleotide ribosomal RNA is filed under the name uncultured bacterium. Its description in RNAcentral is "partial 16S ribosomal RNA". It matches the Rfam family "Bacterial small subunit ribosomal RNA", at positions 28 to 508 of the family's 1533-position model. The record is from RNAcentral.
GACGAACGCUGGCGGCGUGCUUAACACAUGCAAGUCGAACGGAAAGGCCCUGCUUUUGUGGGGUGCUCGAGUGGCGAACGGGUGAGUAACACGUGAGUAACCUGCCCUUGACUUUGGGAUAACUUCAGGAAACUGGGGCUAAUACCGGAUAGGAGCUCCUGCUGCAUGGUGGGGGUUGGAAAGUUUCGGCGGUUGGGGAUGGACUCGCGGCUUAUCAGCUUGUUGGUGGGGUAGUGGCUUACCAAGGCUUUGACGGGUAGCCGGCCUGAGAGGGUGACCGGCCACAUUGGGACUGAGAUACGGCCCAGACUCCUACGGGAGGCAGCAGUGGGGAAUAUUGCACAAUGGGCGGAAGCCUGAUGCAGCAACGCCGCGUGCGGGAUGAAGGCCUUCGGGUUGUAAACCGCUUUCGCCUGUGACGAAGCGUGAGUGACGGUAAGGGGUAAAGAAGCACCGGCUAACUACGUGC